UACGUAGGGUCCGAGCGUUGUCCGGAAUUAUUGGGCGUAAAGGGCUCGUAGGCGGUUUGUCGCGUCGGGAGUGAAAACACGGGGCUUAACCCCGUGCCUGCUUCCGAUACGGGCAGACUAGAGUGCGGUAGGGGAGACUGGAAUUCCUGGUGUAGCGGUGAAAUGCGCAGAUAUCAGGAGGAACACCGGUGGCGAAGGCGGGUCUCUGGGCCGUAACUGACGCUGAGGAGCGAAAGCGUGGGGAGCGAACAGG
RNAcentral lists this ribosomal RNA (253 nucleotides) under uncultured bacterium. RNAcentral's name for it is "partial 16S ribosomal RNA". It matches the Rfam family "Bacterial small subunit ribosomal RNA", at positions 524 to 776 of the family's 1533-position model. The record is from RNAcentral.